Felis catus (domestic cat) is the source of this 1070-nucleotide long non-coding RNA. RefSeq lists it as uncharacterized. The transcript has 2 exons. The record is from RefSeq and is a predicted model, not a curated record. NCBI's taxonomy places the organism in Eukaryota, Metazoa, Chordata, Mammalia, Carnivora, Felidae.
CAGAAGAGCCAGGAGACCAGCCCAAGGCUCGUGCUAACAACGUGCGGCCAGCGGUCAGCGUGAGCCUGGAUGGGCCGUCGUCCACCCCGCACGCACUCUCCGUGCGGGUCCAGUCACGUCCCCGGUGGACACCGUCUCUCUCCUCUUUCGCGUCAGGUGCAGCUGCACAGCCAGCCAGCAUCCCCGCGCCCUGAACCCUUCGCGGGUCCCCGGGAAGGAAGAUCUUUUCCUCUCGGCUUUUUGAUUGCGGGACUUCACUUUCCCCCCGAUAGCGAGCAGCCUCCAGAUGUGUAAACUGAGUUCUUACGAGGGCCACGUGAACUGGGGGCAUCCCGACGCACGAUGGGCCUUCACCCCGGGGCCGGCUUCACGCUCUCUGACGAGCGCCCGGAGAAAGGAAGUCUGGAAGGGUUCAUGAGAAAGAGAAGCAAGGCGGAGAAUGCACGGCCCCACACCGAGUCAGUAUCACUUCUGCCUUAACUUCCUUGAAGCCGAAGGGGAAGAAAUUAGAAGCUGAACGAAAAGGUCACCUCCCUUCAAGCUGGAAAGACGUCUAGUUUCUAGAAGCGCCUCCAAAAAUGGGAAGCCGGGUUUCCAGCGUAGUUUCCACUGGGUGCCGGAGCAAACACUGCAUCUCCUGGAACGGCCCCAGGCAGGUCGGAGGCGCCUGCCACGAAGUCCAGCUAGCACUCCAUUGAGCAGUAACACCGUACCCUAUUUCUCCGUGUUCCCCUUGACAAAGGUCCACGUGCAGCCUCCAGAGGAAAACGUAGGCAAACACCAGAGGGACAGGAGCGAGGAGGGCGCUGAGCUGAACACAGCACCUGCUCCCUGGGGUUCCAGGCCCCCCCAGGCCGGCGCCCUCUGAGCCUUCGGGUUGGGCUCACCCCUUAAGGGGUGUUCCUGAUGCAUUUAGGACUGGAUCCGAUUUGCAGAAACUCAGGUGGCUGCCCCGGGGGGCAGCCCAUCGUGUCCUGGGGGAGCUGAGAGGAGUCCCAUGGGUAACAUGUGUGUCACAGAAACAGCGAUCGGGAGCUGGGUUAAAAAUAGAACAUGAGACAAGUUUCGUA